RNAcentral lists this ribosomal RNA (253 nucleotides) under uncultured bacterium. RNAcentral describes it as "partial 16S ribosomal RNA". It matches the Rfam family "Bacterial small subunit ribosomal RNA", at positions 524 to 776 of the family's 1533-position model. The record is from RNAcentral.
UACGUAGGGUGCGAGCGUUGUCCGGAAUUAUUGGGCGUAAAGAGCUCGUAGGCGGUUUGUCGCGUCGGCCGUGAAAACUUGGGGCUUAACCCCAAGCUUGCGGUCGAUACGGGCAGACUUGAGUUCGGCAGGGGAGACUGGAAUUCCUGGUGUAGCGGUGAAAUGCGCAGAUAUCAGGAGGAACACCGGUGGCGAAGGCGGGUCUCUGGGCCGAUACUGACGCUGAGGAGCGAAAGCAUGGGGAGCGAACAGG